UGCCCAGCAACUCCUAUCCCUACCUCCUCGUGGUACUGGCCAGGGUACGAGUAACCUUAGGGAAGA
RNAcentral lists this ribozyme (66 nucleotides) under Aedes aegypti (yellow fever mosquito). RNAcentral's name for it is "drz-agam-1 ribozyme". It matches the Rfam family "drz-agam-1 ribozyme". Lineage: Eukaryota; Metazoa; Arthropoda; Insecta; Diptera; Culicidae. The record is from Rfam by way of RNAcentral.